GUCGACGUGGCACAGUGGUAGUGGUCUCGCUUCAUAGGCGAAAAUUGCGGGUUCCCAUCCCGCCACCGUCG
Molecule: non-coding RNA, 71 nt
Organism: Haemonchus placei
Lineage: Eukaryota; Metazoa; Nematoda; Chromadorea; Rhabditida; Trichostrongylidae
Source: Rfam